RNAcentral lists this ribosomal RNA (351 nucleotides) under uncultured Glomeromycotina. Its description in RNAcentral is "LSU rRNA". Lineage: Eukaryota; Fungi; Glomeromycota. The record is from RNAcentral.
UUUGAAAGGGAUUGAAGUCAGUCGUACCGACGAGAAAUCAACUUAUCGUGUGCGAACUUGUGGGCGUGCGUGAGUUUCGGCCUCGCUGUUUGCAUGUUUGUGCGUCUUGGGUGUACUUUUUCGUAUGGUAGGCCAACGUCAGUUUCGAUUACUAUAAAAUGACCGGCGGAAUGUAGCUUCGAUCUCGGUUGAAGUGUUAUGGCCUCUGGUAGAUGUAGUGAUUGGGACUGAGGAUUGCAACGAAUAUCCUUUGGGCUAUCCGUCUGAUCUCUGAUAGUUGCUCAGGUGCCGAAAGCGUGCUUACGUCAUCUAAGUUGACGGUCAAUAGGUUAGAACGUGAUUACAUUCGUU